Non-coding RNA from Taeniopygia guttata (zebra finch), 8293 nucleotides. The record is from RefSeq and is a predicted model, not a curated record. Lineage: Eukaryota; Metazoa; Chordata; Aves; Passeriformes; Estrildidae.
CCAGUACCUUAUAAAUAAUUACUUAAACUAAGAGAAAGAAGAAGUGAAGGAAAAAAAAAAAAAUAAAACCAAUACUGAAGUCUGUUAUUGCAAAAAUUACCCAGGAAGGUCCCUACAUUUUUUCACCUGCUGACACGCCAGCAACUUUCUUCCCACCUCACGAAUUAUAUUUACAGUUUCCUUGUGGUUUUUGCCCUGAAGUCAAUUUUCACUCCAGCAACUUUUCUUCUGUACUGUGCCUUGGCUCCUUAGGUCAUUAACCUCAAGCAAGGAACUUUGUCAAAUACUUUGAAACACCAAGUCCACUCUAUUUCCCUUGUCUGUCCUGGUGGCAAUACAGCACUUUCAAAGAAUUCCAGCAAUUUUCUGAGGCGUGACCUGCCUCUCCUGAAACAUGCUGGUAUCUUUGCAAUCUUUCAGCAAGCUGUGCUGUACCAAAUGUUCUUCCAUUUGAUCUUCUUAAAUAUUUACUCAACUGUUUCCAGUGACUCUCAUUCAGUUAACUGGUCUCCAGUAACUUGACAAACUCAGCCAGCUUGAUGAAUUGAUUGUUUGUUUUCCAUAAAAAUCUCAAAGUAAACAGUAAAAUAUAUUUUAUUCUCACAGCUUGCAGUUUCUCCUGAUGUAAAAAAUUGCUAAUCAUUCAGUGGCUUUGGGGAAAUAUGUUUGGUUGUGUGGUAGACGGAGUUGGAUCUCUUAAAGUACUAUCUGAGUGCUAACUUAUUAAAUAGCCACUGCUCACGUUUACUCUUAUGUGCAACAAAAAUACCAUUUUACUCAAAAAUGCAUUAGAAUUCGUGUUACCUGUGGAAAAGUGGUGAUCAUUCCAAAAUGAUAACGUGAUUGCUUUCUUAGCAGUAAAAUCCCUCAAGGAGUGGAAGCUCAGGAGGAAGUGGAAUGUCUUCUGUCAAAUUUAAAAUAGGAAGAGGCUGUAUAAUGUUAAUCCACUGGAUUAACUGCUGAUCUGAAUGGACAUGCUGGACAGGGGGAGGCAGGGAAUACCACUGGCCUUUACUUCAGGUGACCAAAGGACCAAUUAAAUCAGUGUCUGUGCUGCAAUGCCCAGGAAUUUUCCUCCAAAAUGAAGAAACAAGGUUUUUGAAUAUAUUUCUGGACCAGAUCCUCAGUGUUUUCUGGAGAUAUCAGUCAAAUCAUUGCCUCCAGUGCAGACCUCCUUCCCUCUCUCCUGCAGGGCCUGGCCCCUGCCUCACCAACACAGAAGAACAUUUUAAGUUGUAAGAGAAGAAAAUUUUUAGAGAGCUCUGUUCCUCCCCAUGUUCCCAUCUCUUCAAAGCUCGCAGGCAGUGAAGGCUCUCCUUUUACUUGAGCAUAGGGAAGUUUGAGUGUUUAGAUCAGAAAAUCCAAGCUUUCUCUCUGCUGUCACUGAGAAGCUUUGAAUGGCUGCAUUGUGAGGCUCUAACCAUAAUGUCCUAGCUGGUCAUUGAUCUUUUCAGACACACUCUUCUAACUGGGGCAUCCUUGUGGCAUGAUGAACGGAAUAAUAAUUUAGGAAGAAAGCAUACUAAAUCAUCCAAAGGCAGCUCCUUUGGUCUCCAAGAUGGUUAGAGCAGGGCAGAAGUUUUCUGAGAGGAGUAGGUGAGUGAGGGAUGCAGCAGCAAAACAUUGUGGAAGAGAGGAAACCUGAGGGCCUAAAAAUUCCUGCAGGGAGGGGGGACAGCACAUGUUUGGCAUCUCUAUGGGUGGUUUCUUGGACAGCAGAGAGAGGCUGGUAAGGAAGUGAAUUUUUUUCCUGGUGCUCAGCUUUUCAGCCUUUUCUUUCUCCUUCUCUGCCCUGCUCCCCCUCCUCUCAUGCCAUAGCCCUCACUGGCUUGCAAACUGAGCAGCAUUUUUCUUCCAAAGAUAAAAAAGAUUGAGGUCCAUCUCCUUUGCAUCCACCCCAAGGCCAAAUCUUCUCUUCCUACUGUGCUGCAGUGGGUAUAAUUUCACACCUCAAAGCAUGACUCUUGUUGUUUGGUGAUAAUUAAAUAAGUUUCUCUGAAGCUUACUCUAAUUUACUCCUGAAUUAGUACCAGUCAUUCUUGUUUGUUUGGCUACACUGGUUAUCCAAAAGUCACCCCAAUUAAAGAGAUGGCUCAAUCAAAUGUGUAUAGAUUAAGUAGGAUGCAAAAUUUUGUUGAUCAAAUUCUUUUUAUUGAAACUUUUUUUUUUUUUUACUUUUGUCAGAGACUAGCAUUUCAAUCAGGCUAAUUUUUUUCUCUAAAAUGUCAACACUCCUCUAUUUAAUUUUUCAGAAGCUGGGAAAUGUUUUCUUUUUUUUUUCCUUCAGCCACUGGAAAUUUAAAAUUUUCGUGGAUUUUUGAAAUAAAAUUUUAAAGGGAAAUGUUGAUACCAAUGGAAAGAAAUUUACUUUUUGAAAUACUUCUAGGGGACCAAAGUUCUCUUAAUUAGUUUUUAACAUGCUGCAGCUAUAAAGAGAAUUUGCAACCUCUCAUUUUGCAAACAGUAUAGAUAUUCUCCUUACAACUGCCUGUUUUCAUAUUGAUUUUUUUAUUUCUUGAAGAAUCUUACACUGUUAAUUCACUUCAGAUAAUGCGUGUAUGGAUACAGUAGUAUUGCAGAUCAGUUUUCUGAUGCAAGGGUUUGCUAAUGACUGUGGAAGAGAUUUCUGCAAGGCAAACACUGGUCCUGGGAGCCUGGGUGAGGGGAGAAAUUUAAGUGUUGUGUAGAUGUUGUAAGUGAGGUUAUGGCUAUUUUAUCUGUGGCUGGAAUGCUUUUUUAGUCCCAUUCUUGUAUUUCUGUUACAGAUGCUCCAUCCAUUUACAUACCUGAACACUUUCAAUACACUCAGCACAUACCUUUAACGGCCCACUCUGCAUUUUAAUCAUCAAAACCAUCUUGUGGUGUGGCCAUCAGCCUUCCAGUCAAAGGCUUCAAGUGGUGGAGGAUCAGAGACUGCCCAGUGGUACUGGAAAAUGUUGGCUUUCUUCAGCGGAUGCUAAAUCUGACAGAAAUCUGUCUCUUCCUUUUGGUGAAGAUGUGGCACACAUUUGGUUUCAGCUGUGUGUUGAAAAUCCCCAAAGCUCUUCUCACUGAUGCUACUGUCUCCACCAAUGCCAGCCAACAAGGUUGCACGUAAACAUUUAAAUUUUAAACAUUCUGUGUUUUUUUUCUUUCAGUCCUCCACUGAUUAGAACUUCCCCAUAUUCUUCCUCUGCUGGGUUACGAUUACGAUUCCUGUAAAGUCACAGCUGUGCUUGGUGGUUUUGCAGCAUGAGUAAAGGCAGGAUUCAGAGGUGAUAUUGCUGCUCUGUAUUUCUCUCUGUCAAAAGUUAUGGAUCCAUAUCAACACUGUGAAUGGCACAGUAAGAGACCUGCUUGCACCCGAAAUACAUUGCUGUUUAUUGUCUCCUUCCCCAUUUCUGUCUCCUGCAUACCAUUUCUUAGGAAGCUCCUCUUCAUAAUUCCUUCAAGAUUUAAUUUUGUUUGAGGUAAACAGAUACUAAUGUGCUUUCCAUUCCUGUAGACUCACUUUUGUUCAUGAUCCGUGAAACUUGCAUUUGCUCUUCUCUAAUAAUUCAGCAAUCCUUUUGUUCAUCCCAAUACUUUUUACUUGCGCCUGAUGCUUCCCUGUAUCUCUCCCGACAUAAAUUGUCAUUUUCACCUCCUGACAUUGGGAAAACUUUCCUGGCACAGGUAGAAAUAGUUAGGAGAGGAUGCAAAGUGAGAGGAAGGUUUCAGUUUUCCAGCCCUCUCCUUGCCCAGUGUGUGCAGACCUGAUGCACUUUGUUCUCCACAGUGUGUUAGGGUGUCCAUUAUCAACAAUGGAAGCUUGUUAACACAGUAGCACGGAGACUGUCCAUUAUUCCUCCUGCUCCUUUUUAAAGAGGCCAUUAAAAUAGAGGCAAGCUCCUUUCCCUACAGGUUGAAUUUUGAACAAAUUUAAUUUAUAUUUGUUAGGGAAACUUGUGCUGCUGGGGAGAAAAAAAAAAAAAAAAAAAAAAAAGCCAGAUUGACAGUUCUGGAAUAUAAAGUCCUUUAUUCAUCCACAACACAGGUAGAGGAAGUGGCUGUUUCGCUUGUCUUGCCAAUUUUUGCUCAUCUCUGACCUAGAGGUAUCACCUCAAGCUUGGAGUUCAUUCUCCACAUCUUUCUAAUCAUUGGGCUCUCUGCUGAGGUAGGUGCCAAUUAGCACAGGUUAUUUUAGUGAUGUGGACAGCUGACCAUUACAACGGGAUGGAAACCACGAAUUUUACUUUGUGCAAGGACAGUUCAUCAUCAUGGCUAUGUUGGACAAAUUCGUGCUGCUGUUCUGAAAGAGUUUGUCUGGGCUUGGGUGACAUUGCCAAGACAUUCCAGACAUCUCAGCCCCACCAGCUGUGCUGGUUUUCACACGGGAAAGGUCUGUGUAGAGUGUGCUGACAGUGAACCAGCUACCACAACCCUGAGCUUUGCUUCUGUCCUCUUUCUGUCCGAAGGUCUAAGUCACCCUAGUCAAGCCAGACAGUGAAAUAUCACUGUCUGCCUAGAGUCUUCUAGAAAGAAAGGAAAGAUGACCAAAAAUACCCAGGAGCAGCAAAAACACAUUGAAAACCUCAUGAAAGAGCUUGUUUUAAAGGAUCAUCCUGAUGUUUCAUGCUGGGGAAUGGUGAUGGUGGGUAUUUUUGCCAUCAGGCGGAGAGUUACUGCCUGCAAAACCAGGUGCUGUUAGUCCCCAGAAACCCAGCUGAAAGGGAAGAAUAUCAGGGUCUUGGUCAGGAAUGAAUGAGCUUGAGGUGAUCCCUGGUUGGACAUAUUCACUGUUUUUAGGUCUGAGCUGAAGUUAAUGCAUACAGAAGAAUCUGCUGUGAUUACAGAUGUGCCCUGCAUUGCUUGUUUGCACAGCAAGAGGCCAAGCAGUCCAAGGAGGCUUUGAAAUGUGCUUCUAAGAAAGCAAAGAAGGGGGUGGAGGAUGCUGGCACUCUUGGGCAGUGUUACUGACAUGCACACAGAGUUGCUCAGUCAAAGGAAUUUGCAGCCAAAAGCUCCUCAUUGAGCCUGGUGGGCAGUGGAAGCCCCACCUUGUUUGAAAACUUUGAAACAUCCCAGGCUAUAAAUCUCAUUCAUUUGCAUUUCUUUUCAGAGGAUGAGGUGGAGCGUGGAGGAUAGCAGUAUUGAUGAGGAUUAAACUAGCAAAUGGGAUGAGGUUGUGGAAUACCUAGUGCUAAGCCAAAGUGCUCUGCUUCUGAUACAUGUACCAAGUGAGAGGAGGAGGCUGCAUGUGGCAUGGUUCAGUUCAUACUGGAUUGUUCAAUUGUUUUCAUAAAGAUGGAGAGAAAUUGAAUCACCCUCGAGAAUAUGAAGUAUUUUCCUUUUUUCUUGAUGAAAUGUACAUAUGUAAUAUUUUACAAGUUUCUGUUUCUUAAAAUUAAUUUUGGCUGCAGAGGUGUUGUAUCUUGGUUUUGUGGGUGGUUUUGGCUUUUUUUUUUUUUUUUUUUUUUUUUGGUUGAAGUUUAAAAGCCCCACCUGUUGAAUUUGGAAAUUUCCCAACCUUUUUCCUGUUUUUAUCAGCCACACCCAUGACAUCGUGAUGUAAAGUGGACUCUUGGAGCGUGGUGUGUCAAUCUGACAAGUGUUAGAGACAUUGUUUUAUUUAAGCUGAUUUAUUUAGGUUUUUUGUUCAAAAACAACACCAAAAAUAUCAGACCAACCUUAAAGGAGAGAAUUUAAAUGGAGUUGUUUGUCUGAAUGAAAACAAGCAGGAAAACGUCCUUGACAACAAGAUGCAUUGUUCUCCUGCCUGGAGAAGGCAAGGCUUGGUCUGAAGCACUGGGGAGAGAAAUAGGUGUGGAGGAGCACACAUCUUGAUAGCUCCAUCCUCUAUCCUUCCCCAGAGUUCCUUCCAAAUGGAAUAAAGUUGCCUCCCACUCUGUCUGGUGUAAGAACGGUGCAUACGAUGAUAGAGCACAAAUCGGGCGAGGCCUCCCUGAGCCAGGGGAGAGAUUCCCCACCAAGUUACCAACAUACACUCCAGGCUUUGAAUGAACCUUCAGAACACAGCUGCAGCCAUCAUGGAAAUCUGGAAUAGACACUGACAGCUACCAAAAGAAUAUCUGUCUGUUCCUCUUCCUCUGGAAACUGCAGGCUGCACUAGAGAAGUCCAAGGGUGAGAGAAACUACAAAUGGAGAAGAGAAAGGACAUCUGAGAGUCUUCACUAAAUAAUCAGAAGACUGAUGGAUUUCAGACAAAGACAGGAGUUAUAUAACACAUUCCUCCUCUGUGAGUAAUCAUAUGCAAAGAUUGACAUGUUUGUGAGUGUUCCCAAAACUGAUCCUGGGCUUACUGUGGCCAUUCCUGCAUGAAAAAAACAUCAGUCAGAGGAAAAGAGGAAAAAGAAAGAGAGGGAGGAAAAAAAAGGAAAGAAGUGUGAUUGUGCUCCUAGGACAACAUCCUGAAUUUUUCCCUGGUGGACCCUUGCCAUUACCAUGGCAAAAUGCCUGGAAACUGCCGUUCUUUUCCACAAAAAAAUGUUUUGAAGGAAGAACAAAAGAAGUUUGAGCUUUUGGCAGAUCAUUGAAGAUCACUGUGUUCAGAUCCUCAGCUGGUGUAAAUCAAGAUAACUGCAAUAUUGCUACAGUAGUUAAAAACUGACUGACUUUCCCAUCUAUCAUGGCUUGCUGCUACGGGGGAAUAUUUCUUUACAGCUUAAAUAGAGGAAGGAAUUGCUUUUACUGCAUGUUGCAUGUCUUCGUGUUAAGAAAAUAUUUUUUAUCCUUAAUUGCUUAAGCUCCCUUGUGUAUAUAAGGUGGUGGUGCCUUCUGUCAUGGAGGCGUUUGCUGUGUGUGACACCUUGCUUUAUUUCUUUGGUUUGCUAGUUGAAUGACAUGUUAAUCUGCUGUGAAGGUGCAUAAUAGGAUCAAUGGGAAUCAGGAAGUAUGUUUUAAAUUAAAAAGAGGUCCUUUCUUUGUCUGAUUCAUGUUUCUGUAUUAUAUCACAGCAUGUGUGGCCAAAGAGUAUUCCCACUAGGCCAGGAUAACCUGAUGCUGGUCAAUAAUUAAAUAAUAAUCUGUAAAAUUGAAAGGCUUUAUGUUUCAGAGUGAAAGAAUGUUCUUGCAGCUAAUGGUAGUCAACAGGCAAGCACCCUGAGACCUCCAUACAUGCAAAUACCUCAUGAUCAUUCAGCUACAAGGGCUUGUAAAUCCAUUUUUACAGUUGCAGAAGGAUGAAGUCUAUAGACCCUCCUUUGCUUAUGAAUCAAGGUGCAGUGCAUCUGACUAUGCCACAGCACUGAUUUGGUUUUUUUUUUUUUGCUCUUCUACAUCGAGAGAAAUGUCUUGGGGAAAUUAAACUCAUCUGAACUAUGUCAGGAAUUGCAUGUGACCACAAGAAUUAGAUAAGCCUAGAAAAUUCCAUUAUCUGCUCAUACCACUCAUUAUUUGAUGGCCCAGUCUGGAUUUGUGAUGUUGUUGAGGUUUGAGCACUGAAGCAGGAGAGGCAGGAAUAUACCUCCACGUGCCUGUGUGGUGGGACUGAGUGGCUGAAUCAGCAGCAGUGCUCCACCUUCAAGUGAUCAGGAAGCAGACACAGAUCUCAGAGACAGACCCCACAUUCCCUUACAUCCCAAAUACACUCAGCUCUGCCCACCCCUUGCUGUGCAAGUACCUAAGGCUUUCCACAUCAUGGAAUACUGCAGCAAAAUUUAUCUCUAAAGGCGUUCUGGAAGACAGACUUCCAUUUAUGUUGAGGAACGUUACUCCUGGUCUGCAGCCCAAGUGCCGUAUCCUGUUUAUACAUGUAUUCACUUGUCUGUCUUCUCUUGAUAAAGGGUAUUAUUUCAGGAUCAUCUAGCAGCUGAUUUGAUUAGCUGUGUUAUCUUCCAGAGUGCUCUAAUGCUGCUCUGUCCCCAGACCAAGGGAAUGUGAGGUUGCCAAGGUAAGAAUCAUAGGUAGCAAAUAAAAUACCAUUGAGACUGGGAGAAUUGGAUUCUGGUAAGGAGUAGCAGCCCUCUGAACUUCCACUUUUCCCCAGGACUGUCCCAGAUGGCACUGUGCUGAUGAAAGGAGAUGAGGUGGGUCCAUCAGCUAAUCCAGGAAGGAGAUCUUCUCCCUGAGGAAGCCACAGCUCUGCCUUCAGCUGGCAGUGGGCACUGACUGGUCCAGUGCUCACCCAAAGGUCACCUCUGUGAUGAGCAUCAUUGUGAGGAACACUGUGUAGGCUCUUUUAAACCCCUUGUGCUGAUAGAAAAUGCCAAGGCUGGGAGAAAUCUCCCCCAGAUUGUUGUUUUAAUACAUAUGGAAUUAAUUUUUUUUUUAACAAGUGUUGCAUAUUCUUGAUUAAAUAUAGUUUUCAAAAUAA